GUAGCGGUGGCUCAGCUGGUUAGAGGUUUGGCUGGGGCGCAGAAGGUCAGGGGUUCGACCCCCGCUGUG
Molecule: non-coding RNA, 69 nt
Organism: Caenorhabditis elegans
Lineage: Eukaryota; Metazoa; Nematoda; Chromadorea; Rhabditida; Rhabditidae
Source: the annotation of a RefSeq genome assembly